UACGUAGGGGGCGAGCGUUGUCCGGAUUUAUUGGGCGUAAAGAGCUCGUAGGCGGCUUGGCAAGUCGGGUGUGAAACCUCCAGGCUCAACCUGGAGUCGCCACUCGAUACUGCCAUGGCUUGAGUCCGGUAGGGGACCACGGAAUUCCUGGUGUAGCGGUGAAAUGCGCAGAUAUCAGGAGGAACACCGGUGACGAAGGCGGUGGUCUGGGCCGGCACUGACGCUGAGGAGCGAAAGCGUGGGGAGCGAACAGG
This 254-nucleotide ribosomal RNA is filed under the name uncultured bacterium. RNAcentral's name for it is "partial 16S ribosomal RNA". It matches the Rfam family "Bacterial small subunit ribosomal RNA", at positions 524 to 776 of the family's 1533-position model. The record is from RNAcentral.